UCAAGAACCUUCCACAAUGGACGAAAGUCUGAUGGAGCGACGCCGCGUGGUUGAUGAAGUGCUUCGGCACGUAAAGACCUUUUAUGAGGGAAGAAGUUUAUUGACGGUACCUCAUGAAUAAGGGGCUCCUAACUCUGUGCCAGCAGGAGCGGUAAUACAGAGGCCCCGAGCGUUAUCCGGAAUUAUUGGGCGUAAAGGGUGUGUAGGUGGCAUUGUUAGUCGUUUGUGAAAUCCUGGGGCUUAACCUCAGAUCCGCGGACGAAACGGCAAUGCUUGAGUGGAGGAGAGGUAAGCAGAACUCAUGGUGUAGGGGUGAAAUCCGUUGAUCUCAUGGGGAAUACCAAAAGCGAAGGCAGCUUACUGGCCUCUUACUGACACUGAAACACGAAAGCGUGGGUAGCGAAUGGGAUUAGAUACCCCGGUAGUCC
RNAcentral lists this ribosomal RNA (428 nucleotides) under uncultured bacterium. RNAcentral describes it as "bacterial SSU rRNA". It matches the Rfam family "Bacterial small subunit ribosomal RNA", at positions 355 to 796 of the family's 1533-position model. The record is from RNAcentral.